Molecule: ribosomal RNA, 1093 nt
Filed under: Phialocephala sp. AS27-1
Lineage: Eukaryota; Fungi; Ascomycota; Leotiomycetes; Helotiales; Mollisiaceae
Description: eukaryotic LSU rRNA
Rfam family: Eukaryotic large subunit ribosomal RNA (bases 503-1093)
Source: RNAcentral
UAGGUGACCUGCGGAAGGAUCAUUACAAGUGAGGCCACCGAACGUUGGAAACAGCGGUUAGGAGCUUACACCCACCCGUGUUUACAUACUAUUGUUGCUUUGGCGGGCCGUGGCCUCCACUGCGGGCUCUGCUCGUGUGUGCCCGCCAGAGAACCAAACUCUGAAUGUUAGUGAUGUCUGAGUACUAUCUAAUAGUUAAAACUUUCAACAACGGAUCUCUUGGUUCUGGCAUCGAUGAAGAACGCAGCGAAAUGCGAUAAGUAAUGUGAAUUGCAGAAUUCAGUGAAUCAUCGAAUCUUUGAACGCACAUUGCGCCCUGUGGUAUUCCGCAGGGCAUGCCUGUUCGAGCGUCAUUUAACCACUCACGCCUAGCGUGGUAUUGGGGCACGCGGUCUCCGCGGCCCUCAAAAUUAGUGGCGGCGCCGGUGGGCUCUAAGCGUAGUACAUACUCCCGCUAUAGAGUUCCCCCGGUGGCUCGCCAGAACCCCCAAUUUUUACAGGUUGACCUCGGAUCAGGUAGGGAUACCCGCUGAACUUAAGCAUAUCAAUAAGCGGAGGAAAAGAAACCAACAGGGAUUACCUCAGUAACGGCGAGUGAAGCGGUAACAGCUCAAAUUUGAAAGCUGCCAACAGGCCGCGUUGUAAUUUGUAGAAGCUGCUUUGGGUGUCGGCCCGGUCUAAGUUCCUUGGAACAGGACGUCAUAGAGGGUGAGAAUCCCGUAUGUGAUCGGUGCCGUUGCCCGUGUAAAGCGCUUUCGACGAGUCGAGUUGUUUGGGAAUGCAGCUCAAAAUGGGUGGUAAAUUUCAUCUAAAGCUAAAUAUUGGCCAGAGACCGAUAGCGCACAAGUAGAGUGAUCGAAAGAUGAAAAGCACUUUGGAAAGAGAGUUAAACAGUACGUGAAAUUGUUGAAAGGGAAGCGCUUGCAACCAGACUUGCGGGCGGUCGAUCAUCCGAGGUUCUCCCCGGUGCACUCGAUCGUUCUCAGGCCAGCAUCGGUUUCCGGGGUGGGAUAAAGGCGGUGGGAAUGUGGCUCUUCGGAGUGUUAUAGCCCACCGUGCAAUGCCGCCACUGGGGACCGAGGACCGCGCUCGG